RNAcentral lists this unclassified non-coding RNA (258 nucleotides) under uncultured Dothideales. Its description in RNAcentral is "sequence contains 5.8S rRNA gene, ITS2, 28S rRNA gene". The stretch from base 1 to 52 matches the Rfam family "5.8S ribosomal RNA", at positions 103 to 154 of the family's 154-position model. The record is from RNAcentral. Lineage: Eukaryota; Fungi; Ascomycota; Dothideomycetes; Dothideales.
AACGCACAUUGCGCCCCUUGGUAUUCCGAGGGGCAUGCCUGUUCGAGCGUCAUUACACCACUCAAGCACUGCUUGGUAUUGGGCCCCGUCCCCCUCCUCUUGGGGGGCGAGCCUCAAAGACCUCGGCGAGGCCUCACCGGCUUUAGGCGUAGUAGAAUUAUUUCGAACGUCUUUAAAAGGGGAGGACUUCUGCCGACAGAAGCCUUUAAUUUUUCUAAGGUUGACCUCGGAUCAGGUAGGGAUACCCGCUGAACUUAA